AGAACGAACGCUGGCGGCAGGCCUCAAACAUGCAAGUCUAGGGGGUGUAGCAAUACAUCACCGGCGGACGGGUGCGUAACACGUGGGAAUAUACCUUUCGGUACGGAACAACUGCGGGAAACUGCAGCUAAUACCGUAUACGUCCUAGCGGAGAAAGAUUUAUCGCCGAAGGAUUAGCCCGCGUUCGAUUAGCUAGUUGGUGAGGUAAUGGCUCACCAAGGCGACGAUCGAUAGCUGUUCUGAGAGGAAGAUCAGCCACACUGGGACUGAGACACGGCCCAGACUCCUACGGGAGGCAGCAGUUGGGAAUCUUGGACAAUGGGGGAAACCCUGAUCCAGCCAUGCCGCGUGAGUGAUGAAGGCCUUCGGGUUGUAAAACUCUUUCGACGGGGACGAUAAUGACGGUACCCGUAGAAGAAGCUCCGGCUAACUUCGUGCCAGCAGCCGC
This 448-nucleotide ribosomal RNA is filed under the name uncultured bacterium. RNAcentral's name for it is "SSU rRNA". It matches the Rfam family "Bacterial small subunit ribosomal RNA", at positions 26 to 518 of the family's 1533-position model. The record is from RNAcentral.